This 469-nucleotide ribosomal RNA is filed under the name uncultured bacterium. Its description in RNAcentral is "partial 16S ribosomal RNA". It matches the Rfam family "Bacterial small subunit ribosomal RNA", at positions 28 to 507 of the family's 1533-position model. The record is from RNAcentral.
GAUGAACGCUGGCGGCGUGCUUAACACAUGCAAGUCGAACGAUGAAGCAGGAACUUGUUCUGGUGGAGUAGUGGCGAACGGGUGAGUAACACGUGAGCAACCUGCCCCUGACUCUGGGAUAACAGCAGGAAACGGAUGCUAAUAUCGGAUAUGAUCCAAGAACGCAGGUUCAGCGGGGGGAAAGAUUAUUUGGUGGGGGAGGGGUACCCGGCGUAGCAGCUGGUUGGUGGGGGAUUGGAUGACCAAGGCGUCGACGGGUAGCAGGCCUUAGAGGGUGACCGGCCACAAUGGGCCUGAGAGACGGCCCAGACUCCUACGGGAGGCAGCAGUGGGGAAUAUUGCACAAUGGGCGCAAGCCUGAUGCAGCAACGCCGCGUGAGGGAUGACGGCCUUCGGGUUGUAAACCUCUUUUGGCAGGGAAGAAGCGAGUGUGACGGUACCUGCAGAAAAAGCGCCGGCUAACUACGUG